RNAcentral lists this long non-coding RNA (518 nucleotides) under Rattus norvegicus (Norway rat). RNAcentral's name for it is "long non-coding RNA NONRATT012382". The record is from RNAcentral. Lineage: Eukaryota; Metazoa; Chordata; Mammalia; Rodentia; Muridae.
AGCUCAGAUACGAUCACACACUUGUCUGAGUUCUAGCUUCCGUCAUCACUAGGAUACACUGACUGAAGGCAAAUUCAGCAAUGACAAGAACAGGAAGAGCAGUGUGGACUCCCCGGCAUGGAAGCCAUUUCCUGCUGGUGCCGAAGUGCUUCCCACACCCCAGCCUGCUUAUGCGACAGGUGAAAAAGAUUGAAGUUUAAUUUGGUAUCUGUCCGGACUUUGGUCACUUCAUCCUGGGCAGAGGGCAGAGGACAAAGAGAAUGAGAAGCCAGGGUAAAAGAGCUGCACCUUCUGAGACUUAAGCCCAGAGACAUGGAGCCAGGCCUCCUGGUGUCCUAGGACUCUGGGCCAGCCACACCUCACAUCAGCUCUGUGUCUAGCCCUCCCAGUUAUCUAUAGACAGUCCCCUUUGACCCCAAUGUCAGCAUGGUAGGGCUCAACUGCUUAUGACCUCCUCAUGGAAUGUGUGAAUAGGAUUAUCUAGAGCAUUUUAGAAAAUAAAGAUGGACCAAUGGAAC